This 254-nucleotide ribosomal RNA is filed under the name uncultured bacterium. Its description in RNAcentral is "partial 16S ribosomal RNA". It matches the Rfam family "Bacterial small subunit ribosomal RNA", at positions 524 to 776 of the family's 1533-position model. The record is from RNAcentral.
UACAGAGGGCGCGGGCGUUGUCCGGAAUCACUGGGCGUAAAGGGCGCGUAGGUGGCCACCAUAAUGCCGCGGUGAAAGUUCGGGGCUCAACCCCGGAUCGGCCGCGGCGACUGUGGGGCUCGGGUACUGUAGAGGCAGAUGGAAUUCCGGGUGUAGCGGUGGAAUGCGUAGAGAUCCGGAGGAACACCAGCGGCGAAGGCGGCAUCCUGGACUGGUCCUGACACUCAGGAGCGAAAGCGUGGGGAGCGAUCCGG